GUCGAACGGCAGCACGGGGGCAACCCUGGUGGCGAGUGGCGAACGGGUGAGUAAUAUAUCGGAACAUAUCCGGAAGUGGGGGAUAACGUAGCGAAAGUUACGCUAAUACCGCAUAUGCCCUGAGGGGGAAAGGAGGGGAUCCGCAAGGACCUUUCGCUUUCGGAGUGGCCGAUAUCAGAUUAGCUAGUUGGUGAGGUAAAGGCUCACCAAGGCGACGAUCUGUAGCGGGUCUGAGAGGAUGAUCCGCCACACUGGGACUGAGACACGGCCCAGACUCCUACGGGAGGCAGCAGUGGGGAAUUUUGGACAAUGGGGGCAACCCUGAUCCAGCCAUGCCGCGUGAGUGAAGAAGGCCUUCGGGUUGUAAAGCUCUUUCAGCCGGAAAGAAAUCGUGCAGAUUAAUACUCUGCAUGGAUGACGGUACCGGAAGAAGAAGCACCGGCUAACUACGUGCCAGCAGCCGCGGUAAUACGUAGGGUGCGAGCGUUAAUCGGAAUUACUGGGCGUAAAGCGUGCGCAGGCGGUUUUGUAAGACAGGUGUGAAAUCCCCGGGCUUAACCUGGGAACUGCAUUUGUGACUGCAAGGCUAGAGUAUGGCAGAGGGGGGUAGAAUUCCACGUGUAGCAGUGAAAUGCGUAGAUAUGUGGAGGAAUACCGAUGGCGAAGGCAGCCCCCUGGGUCAAUACUGACGCUCAUGCACGA
This 702-nucleotide ribosomal RNA is filed under the name uncultured beta proteobacterium. RNAcentral's name for it is "bacterial SSU rRNA". It matches the Rfam family "Bacterial small subunit ribosomal RNA", at positions 61 to 756 of the family's 1533-position model. Lineage: Bacteria; Pseudomonadati; Pseudomonadota; Betaproteobacteria. The record is from RNAcentral.